Molecule: ribosomal RNA, 950 nt
Filed under: uncultured archaeon
Lineage: Archaea
Description: bacterial SSU rRNA
Rfam family: Archaeal small subunit ribosomal RNA
Source: RNAcentral
UUCCGGUUGAUCCUGCCGGACCCGACUGCUAUUUGGGUGAGAAUAAGCCAUGCGAGUUGAAUGGGAUACCUAAAUUUCCCAUAGCAAAUUGCUCAGUAACACAUGAUCAACUUACCCUAUGGAGAAAAAUAACCUCGGGAAACUGAGGAUAAUGUUUCAUAGUUGAAUAGGCUUGGAAAAGUUUUUCAAUGAAAUGGAUAAAAAGAAUGGUUUUUAUUUGCCAUAGGAUAGGAUCGUGGUCGAUUAUGGUUGUUGGUGAGGUAAAGGCUCACCGAGCCGAUAAUCGAUAGGGGCCGUGAGAGCGGGAGCCCCGAGAUGGGUACUGAGACAACGACCCAGGCCUUACGAGGCGCAGCAGGCGCGGAACCUCCGCAAUACACGAAAGUGUGACGGGGUUACCCAAAGUGUUCAAUUUUGGACUGUGGUAGGUGAGUAAUGUCCCCUACUAGAAAGGAGAGGGCAAGGCUGGUGCCAGCCGCCGCGGUAAAACCAGCUCUUCAAGUGGUCGGGAUGAUUAUUGGGCUUAAAGUGUCCGUAGCCGGUUUAGUAAGUUCCUGGUAAAAUCGGGUAGCUUAACUAUCUGUAUGCUAGGAAUACUGCUAUACUAGAGGACGGGAGAGGUCUGAGGUACUACAGGGGUAGGGGUGAAAUCUUAUAAUCCUUGUAGGACCACCAGUGGCGAAGGCGUCAGACUGGAACGUGCCUGACGGUGAGGGACGAAAGCCAGGGGAGCGAACCGGAUUAGAUACCCGGGUAGUCCUGGCCGUAAACGAUGCAUACUAGGUGAUGGUACGGCCAUGAGCCGUAUCAGUGCCGUAGGGAAACCGUUAAGUGUGCCGCCCGGGAAGUACGGUCGCAAGGCUAAAACUUAAAGGAAUUGGCGGGGGAGCACCACAAGGGGUGAAGCCUGCGGUUCAAUUGGAUUCAACGCCGGGAAUCACUAGUGCGGC